GCCGGGCGUUGUGGCGGGCGCCUGUGGUCCCAGCUACUUGGGAGGCGGAGGCGGGAGACUCGCUUGAGCCCAGGAGUUGGAGGUUGCUGUGAGCUGUAAUGCCACGGCAUUCUACCCAGGGGGACAGCUUGAGGCUCUGUCUCAAAAAAAAAAAAAAAAAAAAGAGAUAGGGUCUCACUUUGUCACCCUUGGUAGAAUGCUGUGGCAUCACAGCUUGCAGCAACCUCCAGCUCUUAAGGUUCUCGCCACAAUGCCUGGCU
Molecule: small RNA, 260 nt
Filed under: Otolemur garnettii (small-eared galago)
Lineage: Eukaryota; Metazoa; Chordata; Mammalia; Primates; Galagidae
Description: Metazoan signal recognition particle RNA (ENSOGAG00000029537.1)
Source: RNAcentral